Molecule: ribosomal RNA, 429 nt
Filed under: Triticum aestivum (bread wheat)
Lineage: Eukaryota; Viridiplantae; Streptophyta; Magnoliopsida; Poales; Poaceae
Description: partial small subunit ribosomal RNA
Source: RNAcentral
AUGGCCAUCCGGCAUCUGCUCCUCAUCGUCUUCCUGGCUUCUGUCCUCCAAGCAGCCACCUCCGACACAGCGUACGACCUUUUGGAGAAAAACAACUUCCCGCGGGCUCUCCUGCCUCAGGGUGUGAAGUCGUACGUGAACCAUGGGGGCGCCGUUGAGGUGACACUCCCCGCCUCCUGCGACUUCAAUGUUACGGUUGCCGGUGGAUCACACAAGAUUCGGUUUGACAGCAUAGUCAGUGGUGUUAUCCGGCCCGGAUCCAUAACUCAACUGGGUGGCGUGAGGAUCCAAUUUGAGUGGGAUUUUCUCGCAUUCCACACGGUUCAACGCGUCGGUGACAAGCUGAGGUUUACUGGUAGUGAGCAUGCAGCCACGUUCGACCAGUCAUUUCCGGUUAGCAACUUCGUGCAGAGCCCCAGGUGCAGCUAA